RNAcentral lists this ribosomal RNA (498 nucleotides) under uncultured bacterium. RNAcentral's name for it is "partial 16S ribosomal RNA". It matches the Rfam family "Bacterial small subunit ribosomal RNA", at positions 28 to 507 of the family's 1533-position model. The record is from RNAcentral.
GACGAACGCUGGCGGCGUGCCUAAUACAUGCAAGUCGAACGAGAGCAACCGGUGCUUGCACUGGUCAAUCUAGUGGCGAACGGGUGAGUAACACGUGGGUAACCUUCCCAUCAGAGGGGGAUAACAUCCGGAAACGGAUGCUAAAACCGCAUAGGUCUUCGAACCGCAUGGUUUGAAGAGGAAAAGAGGCGCAAGCUUCUGCUGAUGGAUGGACCCGCGGUGCAUUAGCUAGUUGGUGAGGUAACGGCUCACCAAGGCCGUGAUGCAUAGCCGACCUGAGAGGGGGAUCGGCCACAUUGGGACUGAGCCACGGCCCAAACUCCUACGGGAGGCAGCAGUAGGGAAUCUUCCGCAAUGGACGCAAGUCUGACGGAGCAACGCCGCGUGAGUGAAGAAGGUUUUCGGAUCGUAAAACUCUGUUGUUAGAGAAGAACAAGUGCUAGAGUAACUGUUAGCGCCUUGACGGUAUCUAACCAGAAAGCCACGGCUAACUACGUG